This 1621-nucleotide ribosomal RNA is filed under the name Escherichia coli. RNAcentral describes it as "partial 23S ribosomal RNA". It matches the Rfam family "Bacterial large subunit ribosomal RNA", at positions 1289 to 2890 of the family's 2925-position model. The record is from RNAcentral. Lineage: Bacteria; Pseudomonadati; Pseudomonadota; Gammaproteobacteria; Enterobacterales; Enterobacteriaceae.
UGCGAAUGCUGACAUAAGUAACGAUAAAGCGGGUGAAAAGCCCGCUCGCCGGAAGACCAAGGGUUCCUGUCCAACGUUAAUCGGGGCAGGGUGAGUCGACCCCUAAGGCGAGGCCGAAAGGCGUAGUCGAUGGGAAACAGGUUAAUAUUCCUGUACUUGGUGUUACUGCGAAGGGGGGACGGAGAAGGCUAUGUUGGCCGGGCGACGGUUGUCCCGGUUUAAGCGUGUAGGCUGGUUUUCCAGGCAAAUCCGGAAAAUCAAGGCUGAGGCGUGAUGACGAGGCACUACGGUGCUGAAGCAACAAAUGCCCUGCUUCCAGGAAAAGCCUCUAAGCAUCAGGUAACAUCAAAUCGUACCCCAAACCGACACAGGUGGUCAGGUAGAGAAUACCAAGGCGCUUGAGAGAACUCGGGUGAAGGAACUAGGCAAAAUGGUGCCGUAACUUCGGGAGAAGGCACGCUGAUAUGUAGGUGAAGUCCCUCGCGGAUGGAGCUGAAAUCAGUCGAAGAUACCAGCUGGCUGCAACUGUUUAUUAAAAACACAGCACUGUGCAAACACGAAAGUGGACGUAUACGGUGUGACGCCUGCCCGGUGCCGGAAGGUUAAUUGAUGGGGUCAGCGCAAGCGAAGCUCUUGAUCGAAGCCCCGGUAAACGGCGGCCGUAACUAUAACGGUCCUAAGGUAGCGAAAUUCCUUGUCGGGUAAGUUCCGACCUGCACGAAUGGCGUAAUGAUGGCCAGGCUGUCUCCACCCGAGACUCAGUGAAAUUGAACUCGCUGUGAAGAUGCAGUGUACCCGCGGCAAGACGGAAAGACCCCGUGAACCUUUACUAUAGCUUGACACUGAACAUUGAGCCUUGAUGUGUAGGAUAGGUGGGAGGCUUUGAAGUGUGGACGCCAGUCUGCAUGGAGCCGACCUUGAAAUACCACCCUUUAAUGUUUGAUGUUCUAACGUGGACCCGUGAUCCGGGUUGCGGACAGUGUCUGGUGGGUAGUUUGACUGGGGCGGUCUCCUCCUAAAGAGUAACGGAGGAGCACGAAGGUUGGCUAAUCCUGGUCGGACAUCAGGAGGUUAGUGCAAUGGCAUAAGCCAGCUUGACUGCGAGCGUGACGGCGCGAGCAGGUGCGAAAGCAGGUCAUAGUGAUCCGGUGGUUCUGAAUGGAAGGGCCAUCGCUCAACGGAUAAAAGGUACUCCGGGGAUAACAGGCUGAUACCGCCCAAGAGUUCAUAUCGACGGCGGUGUUUGGCACCUCGAUGUCGGCUCAUCACAUCCUGGGGCUGAAGUAGGUCCCAAGGGUAUGGCUGUUCGCCAUUUAAAGUGGUACGCGAGCUGGGUUUAGAACGUCGUGAGACAGUUCGGUCCCUAUCUGCCGUGGGCGCUGGAGAACUGAGGGGGGCUGCUCCUAGUACGAGAGGACCGGAGUGGACGCAUCACUGGUGUUCGGGUUGUCAUGCCAAUGGCACUGCCCGGUAGCUAAAUGCGGAAGAGAUAAGUGCUGAAAGCAUCUAAGCACGAAACUUGCCCCGAGAUGAGUUCUCCCUGACCCUUUAAGGGUCCUGAAGGAACGUUGAAGACGACGACGUUGAUAGGCCGGGUGUGUAAGCGCAGCGAUGCGUUGAG